Molecule: ribosomal RNA, 405 nt
Filed under: uncultured bacterium
Lineage: Bacteria
Description: bacterial SSU rRNA
Rfam family: Bacterial small subunit ribosomal RNA
Source: RNAcentral
UGGGGAAUAUUGCGCAAUGGGGGGAACCCUGACGCAGCAACGCCGCGUGAAGGAAGAAGGCCUUCGGGUUGUAAACUUCUUUGAUUGGGGACGAAUAAUGACGGUACCCAAAAAACAAGCCACGGCUAACUACGUGCCAGCAGCCGCGGUAAUACGUAGGUGGCGAGCGUUGUCCGGAAUUACUGGGUGUAAAGGGCGUGUAGGCGGGGGAGCAAGUCAGAUGUGAAAUCCCGGGGCUCAACUCCGGAGUUGCAUCUGAAACUGUUUUUCUUGAGUGCUGGAGAGGAAAGCGGAAUUCCUAGUGUAGCGGUGAAAUGCGUAGAUAUUAGGAGGAACACCAGUGGCGAAGGCGGCUUUCUGGACAGUAACUGACGCUGAGGCGCGAAAGCGUGGGGAGCAAACAGG